This 440-nucleotide ribosomal RNA is filed under the name uncultured bacterium. RNAcentral's name for it is "bacterial SSU rRNA". It matches the Rfam family "Bacterial small subunit ribosomal RNA", at positions 467 to 906 of the family's 1533-position model. The record is from RNAcentral.
AAAUGACGGUACCUGACUAAGAAGCACCGGCUAAAUACGUGCCAGCAGCCGCGGUAAUACGUAUGGUGCAAGCGUUAUCCGGAUUUACUGGGUGUAAAGGGAGCGUAGACGGAGUGGCAAGUCUGAUGUGAAAACCCGGGGCUCAACCCCGGGACUGCAUUGGAAACUGUCAAUCUGGAGUACCGGAGAGGUAAGCGGAAUUCCUAGUGUAGCGGUGAAAUGCGUAGAUAUUAGGAGGAACACCAGUGGCGAAGGCGGCUUACUGGACGGUAACUGACGUUGAGGCUCGAAAGCGUGGGGAGCAAACAGGAUUAGAUACCCUGGUAGUCCACGCCGUAAACGAUGACUACUAGGUGUCGGGCAGCAAAGCUGUUCGGUGCCGCAGCAAACGCAAUAAGUAGUCCACCUGGGGAGUACGUUCGCAAGAAUGAAACUCAAAG